Molecule: long non-coding RNA, 1372 nt
Filed under: Oncorhynchus kisutch (coho salmon)
Lineage: Eukaryota; Metazoa; Chordata; Actinopteri; Salmoniformes; Salmonidae
Description: lncRNA (ENSOKIG00005000354.1)
Source: RNAcentral
GCGGGUAGAUUUUCCGUUUGCGAGUAAAUCUCAGAAGGCUAUCUGCCACGCUGGUGGGUAAAUGUUUGCACCAAAAUAGUAAUGUAAUAAAAUCUGGCAUGAUGGCUCGUGGAAAUUACUCAUGUUUGCCAGCCUACCACAGACCGUCUCUCAUGCUCCUAGUUUCACGGCACAGUUUACCGCACUGGACAUCGCUCACUUAACGCGGGUCUGCUGCUAGCUACCGUUCAUUCAAUAGCUGUUAUGUGGCGACAUUUACCUGGAGUAAGCCAACCUUUGAAACGAAAAACCCACCGACGAAAAGGAGGACGAAUCACAUUUAAAAAAAAAAGUUUUGUGAGAAAUGGAGGUUUGGAGAUAAAGGAGUUUCAAGAGGCUGCCUACAGUAGGAUACGGAGGCUGUGGUGAUGAGUUGUUCUGUGUGUCGCCAGUAUGCUAAAGAUAAAAGCAGAAACAACUCAUUUGUCAUCGGAAAUAAAACAAUGAAGCUGGAGAACAUUCGUGACCAUGAACACAGCAAGUGUCACAUUGCCUGCGUGUCUGUGUCCUGGGCUCAAUCGGAACCUCUCCUCUUGACACCCUCUGUGACGGCACUAAAGGCAAUGUCAGAGCAGACCAGCACGAAGAUGAACAUAUUGUUUAGGACUGUACAUGCCAUUGGCAAGAAGACGAGACCCCUUUCUGACUUGGAGUGGAUGUGUGAUUUGGAUGGGAAAAAAAAGAAAUCGCUGUGGGUUCAACAUAUAGAAAUGAGAAGCAGGCCAAAGAGUUUAUGCAGCAUAUUGCAGAGGUGGAGAGAAACAACAUCAGAGAGAAUCUGAAAACCACCAAAUUUCUCUCCAUCGUGUCAGAUGGCUCCACAGACAGUUCUGUGAAAGAGGAGGAGUUAGUUUAUGUCCGAUUCUGUCCCAAGGGCAAGAUCGAGUCAAAGUUUGUUGGCAUCAAGUCAGUGGAGAAGGCAGACGCGGCACACAUAAACAACUCCACCAGUGCCAUCAUGGAGGGAGUGCGUGGUGAGUCGCUCUGGGAACAGAUGGAGCUGCUGUGAUGAUCGGAACCAAGAAUGGUGUGGUCAGCCGACUGAAGGGGGCCAGGGCCCAACAUCAUCGGCAUCCCCUGUAUGGCACACCGCCUUGAUCUGACCUUUUCUGAUGCCAUCCGGUCCAACGUGAUGUUUCAGAAAGUAGACCUCCUCAGUGGGCUCUACACCUUCUACCACACCAGUCCACUGAACAGGGCAAACCUGGUAAACAGCUUCCAGGCUCUUGGGCACACACCACUGGUGCCACACCACACCACCAGAAUUGGCGGGACCCAAUGGGUAGGACACAUAUUGCAUGCACUGAACCACUUCCUGUGAGAUCACCAGGGG